UAAUGUCUACUGUGAACACCCCAGCCGAUUCCACACAGCUGCUAUGGUCCAAACAGAGCCCAGAGUAACUUUCUCCCGACGGCCUGUGACUGAUAGCGAUGUUUGGAGGAAAUCCAGUU
Molecule: small nucleolar RNA, 119 nt
Organism: Rattus rattus (black rat)
Lineage: Eukaryota; Metazoa; Chordata; Mammalia; Rodentia; Muridae
Source: RefSeq, a predicted model, not a curated record